Molecule: long non-coding RNA, 808 nt
Organism: Monopterus albus (swamp eel)
Lineage: Eukaryota; Metazoa; Chordata; Actinopteri; Synbranchiformes; Synbranchidae
Exons: 4
Source: RefSeq, a predicted model, not a curated record
UGCAUCUUCCGCGGCCCCAUCGACUGUCUCUCAAAGGUAGUCCUGGCUCUGGAGCUCUACAUCUCUGGCAGAGGCAGAAAUCUCAGAGACAAAUAUGAACCAACACUAUCUACAUGGCCAAAAACCUUCAAGGUUUCAAAACAAUUUCACUGCGUCUCAUCAGGAACUUUUAUUGUGGUAUAACCAGAAGAAUCCAACACAUCCAUGGUGUCAACAUUUUCCCCUGUACAUAAUGCUACCCUGUACUGCCUCGAUACCCCAGCAUCCCAUCAUCAUCACAGCUGUGCUUGGAAUAAAAUACAAACAGCACUUCUCUAUUUAGUGCUCCUUUUAUUCUGGUAACCAUCCUAAUGACAAGAUGCAAGUGAGUAAGCGGCGUUAACAAGUGUGAGCCGCUGGUGUGGUGCUUUGUUCAGAAACAGUAUAAGGCAGGUGAAGGGUGUGGGGAGGAGGUUAGACCCAGCUGACUGAUGCCCUUUCGUUAUUGCACUGCUUGCUGUAGCUCCCUCAGUAGUGCAACAUGUAAAGAGUGUCAGGCAGUGAGCGUCCUGUAGCUGUCGCCUGAAGCGAAAAAGUGCAACCUGAAGAGCAGGUUCCCUCUUCAACUUGCCUGUGAGCAAAAGUCCUUUGAAUAUUCAAGACUAGUCAGUGUUAGGUGAAUCUGAGGAUAGACAAAUCACUGGGUUACAUUUGGAUUAAUCUAUGGUUUAAAGGGGAAAACAACUAAUAAAUUAGAAAGAAAAUCUGUCAUAAACAUAGAAUAAUGAGGUUUUAUGUUUUUGUUCUGUGGCUUUUGCAUUUUGUGCAA